CCUACGGGAGGCUGCAGUGGGGAAUAUUGGGCAAUGGAGGAGACUCUGACCCAGCAAAGCCGCGUGAAUGAUGAAGGUCUUCGGAUUGUAAAGCUCUUUUCUAAGGGAAGAAGAAAGUGACGGUACCUUAGGAAUAAGCCUCGGCUAACUACGUGCCAGCAGCAGCGGUAAUCCGUAGGAGGCGAGCGUUAUCAGGAUUGACUGGGCGUAAAGGGUGCGUAGGUGGUUUGGCAAGUUAGUAGCGAAACUCCAAGGCUCAACCUUGGAACUACUACUAAAACUGGUUGACUUGAGUGCGGGAGGAGCAACCGGAAUUCCUGGUGUAGCGGUGGAAUGCGUAGAUAUUAGGAUGAACACCAGUGGCGAAGGCGGGUUGCUAGACUGUAACUGACGCUGAGGCACGAAAGCGUGGGGAGCAAACAGGAUUAGAUACCCCGGUAGUC
Molecule: ribosomal RNA, 443 nt
Filed under: uncultured bacterium
Lineage: Bacteria
Description: partial 16S ribosomal RNA
Rfam family: Bacterial small subunit ribosomal RNA
Source: RNAcentral